UACGAAGGGUGCUAGCGUUGUUCGGAAUCACUGGGCGUAAAGCGCGCGUAGGCGGCGAUACAAGUCAGAGGUGAAAGCCUGGAGCUCAACUCCAGAAUUGCCUUUGAAACUGCAUUGCUAGAGUGUCGGAGGGGAUAGCGGAAUUGCUAAUGUAGAGGUGAAAUUCGUAGAUAUUAGCAGGAACACCGGUGGCGAAGGCGGCUAUCUGGACGACAACUGACGCUGAGGCGCGAAAGCGUGGGGAUCAAACAGGG
RNAcentral lists this ribosomal RNA (254 nucleotides) under uncultured bacterium. Its description in RNAcentral is "partial 16S ribosomal RNA". It matches the Rfam family "Bacterial small subunit ribosomal RNA", at positions 524 to 777 of the family's 1533-position model. The record is from RNAcentral.